AUGAAUACAGACAUAAAAAGGAUAGUUGCAAAAGGCAUUUGGAUAGUUUUUCUAGCAAUUUUGAAUACAAUUUCUUCCUAUAAAUUUCUCUUGAUGCCUCCAUUCUGUUUACUAGUUGCAUCAAAACCACUUAUUCUAGACAUUGUUUAUGUCAAUGUAAGAAAAAGUCUUCAUUUUCCCUGCCGAUGUAUAAUUGGCACAAUAGUGUCAUGCAAAUAUGUAUUUACACCCUCUGAAAAAGAUGUCUGACUACAACGUAAUGGCUCACUUUAGGAAAAAGGGUUCAGUUUGGGAGGAAUCAAAAAAAUUCCAAUUCUAAGACUACAGAAAAAUAUUUUGGCCUUGUUUUAAAAAAAAUACCCCUACCGGUUGCUAUUCACUGCACAUGCUCAGUUAGACUUCUGUUAAUAAGAUUUUGCAAUUUAAAAAUGCAUUUUUAAAAAGUUACAAGUUUUACAUGUCCAGUGCUAGAUUAGAAUUGUUAUCAGAUACAGUAUAGAGUGCAUGCCUUUGUAUGAUGGUAAAAUUUCUAGUAACUAGUUCAUCAGUUACCAGAGUUUUUUUGUCUUUUUUAAAAAGUUGCUCAUAGUAGGGAAGGAGAUACAAAAUUGGGCACACAAUCCAGCCAAAACCCCAUUUUUCAACCCAGCUGAAUUCCAAACUAGAGCUAAGCGCAUGUGGCAUACUCUCUCUCACUGUAACAUAAAAGGGUUUGGCUGGAUCACUGUACCAACAGAGUACAAAAAUUUUGAAAUUCAAGGGCUGAAUUCAUCAUUUUAUCACCUUUUCAUAAUUAUUGACAAUAUUUCCCUCCUCACAGUCUAAGUGGUGGCUUAAAACAUACUGUAUGUACUACACCGUCAGUCAGUGGGAUGGUUUAAGACUAUAAAUAGAACAGACACAGAUAUUUAUGCAGAAAUGCUCACAGAAAUUCAAAAUGAUAAGUUUUUGUGGGAAACCUGGCAGAAGUAUUGGCAGGCUUCUUGACACCCCUGAAUACACAAAUGAAAAAAAAAGAAGAUAGUUAGAUCCACAGGCAAUGAAAACAUGUUUUGGCAAUGUAGAUGAUAUAUUGUCCAUUAAGUUCUGUCACAAGCCUUGAAGAAUACUCUUUUGCUUCAUCUCUUUUAAAAGUCAUACAACAUUUGCAGUCAGUAUCAGUCCAAAGAG
Molecule: long non-coding RNA, 1170 nt
Filed under: Pogona vitticeps (central bearded dragon)
Lineage: Eukaryota; Metazoa; Chordata; Lepidosauria; Squamata; Agamidae
Description: lncRNA (ENSPVIG00000016287.1)
Source: RNAcentral